UCUGUCGAAAUAUACCAGACACUCGUUAAAAGGCUAUGUUCACACUUGGCGUCUUUUUUGACAAGAAAGAGUUGACUAGGAAGAUUUUGUAGUAAA
Long non-coding RNA from Etheostoma spectabile (orangethroat darter), 96 nucleotides. RefSeq lists it as uncharacterized. The transcript has 4 exons. Lineage: Eukaryota; Metazoa; Chordata; Actinopteri; Perciformes; Percidae. The record is from RefSeq and is a predicted model, not a curated record.